CACGUAGGGGGCGAGCGUUGUCCGGAUUUAUUGGGCGUAAAGAGCUCGUAGGCGGUUUGGUAAGUCGGGUGUGAAAACUCUGGGCUCAACUCAGAGACGCCACCCGAUACUGCUAUGACUUGAGUCCGGUAGGGGAGUAUGGAAUUUCCGGUGUAGCGGUGAAAUGCGCAGAUAUCAGGAGGAACACCGGUGGCGAAGGCGGGUCUCUGGGCCGUAACUGACGCUGAGGAGCGAAAGCAUGGGGAGCGAACAGG
This 254-nucleotide ribosomal RNA is filed under the name uncultured bacterium. RNAcentral describes it as "partial 16S ribosomal RNA". It matches the Rfam family "Bacterial small subunit ribosomal RNA", at positions 524 to 776 of the family's 1533-position model. The record is from RNAcentral.